Non-coding RNA from Arachis ipaensis, 1732 nucleotides. The record is from RefSeq and is a predicted model, not a curated record. Lineage: Eukaryota; Viridiplantae; Streptophyta; Magnoliopsida; Fabales; Fabaceae.
UACACUGCACACCCAGUUUCCUUUCUCCAUUUCUCUCCUUCGUCUCCUCCGUGUAAAGAAGCUCUCCGACAACGCCGUUGUUCCCUCUCUGGCUUCUCCUCUCUCCGCCAGUUACCAUUUCUCUGAUCUAGAAAAUCAAAAACAUGGUACCAGAGAGGCCGUGAAAGCUAGAUAGUCAGAUCGCUCAUGUCACUGUUUGACCUCUCUUUUUUGGGGAUUUUUGUUUCUCUGCAGCUCCGCAAUCAGGUCUUGUGUUGAAGCAUUCUAUUGACGUUUGAUAGGUGCAAGCAUUUGAAAUUGAAUUAAAAGGGGUCGUUAGUCUCGAAGACUGGAGGGGGGCUUCAGUGAUUCCCAGAUCUGGAAACUUAUUCUCUUUUGAAUUCUGGUCGCUUAGGGUGCAGAUGCUUUGUAAAGGCUGUGCUUUACAUCAAAUUUGGAAGACUUCCAUCAGGCUGAUUUUAUCAUAGAAGCCAUUGUGGAAUCUGAAGAUAUAAAGAAAAGAUUAUUACUUCCAUUAGAAAAGAUUGCCAAGAGUUCUGCAAUUUUCGCGUCCAACACAAGUUCCAUUUCCAUAACUCGCCUAGCAGCUGCAACUAGCAGGCCACAUCAGAAAAAAAUUAAUUUGCAUAUAUACAACUAUUUCAGAAGGAAAAGUUCACAAAGCCACUGUUACAGCAACAAAAUCAUCAUUUGAAAGAGUCCCUCUUAGUCAUGUCAAUCGAUAAGUCAUGGAUUGGAAAACCACGAAACACGCACGAGUAUAAAGAUGGUUUAAACAAGUUUUUGGAUUUCGCUUUUGAGCAUCGAUCUCUCAGGGGUUGUCAGAUUAAAUGCCCUUGUCCGGUGUGUGGUUUUGGCAAGUGGCAAACAAGAGAGAAAGUUUUUGAACAUUUAAUAGUCAAGCCAUUUCCAGAAAACUACAAAGUUUGGUAUUGGCAUGGUGAAGAAGCAGUUGGAGUUGGGUCACAAGCUCAUCAAACUAGUCAAAUUGUACAAGAUGAUUCGACAUCUCAACAUCCAAUGGUAACAAUGCUCAAUGACGCGUUUGGAGUUGCUGGACCUGACUUGAUUGAAGAUGGAGAUGGAGAUGAAGACAACAUAGAAGAUGCAGAAAAUGAAGAGUACAAUGGAGAAAAUGUAGAAUUUUACAAGUUGUUGAAAGAUGGUAGUGAACAAUUGUAUGAAGGGUGCACAAAGUAUUCAAAAUUGUCUUUCUUGAUUAGUCUGUAUCACAUAAAGUGCUUAUACAGAAUAAGCGACAAAGCCAUGACCGAAAUUCUUAAGUUAAUAAAAGAUGCUUUUGGAAAUGCGAAGAUUUCAAAUACAUUCUAUGAGGCCAAGAAAACCAUAAACAAACUAGGGCUUAAUUAUACCAAGAUACCUGCUUGCCCUAAUGAUUGCAUGUUAUAUUGGGGGGAGGAUGAAGAUUUGCAAGAAUGCAAAAGAUGCAAGACAUCUAAAUUUGUGGGAUUGGAUCAGGAGAGUGAGAUUCCAUCACCAAAAGAGUUAGGAAGUAGGUCUUCUGGAGCAAGCAAUAAGGAAGCAUGACCUUACUUGAUAUGUUAAGACAUAUAUUAAGAAUUAUAUGUUAAGACGUAAUUGAAAAAUGUUACUUUGAUACUUUGUUUUUGGAUUAUGACAUUUCAAUUAUGACUUGGAUUAUGACUUUGGGAUCAUGUAUGAAUUAAAAAUCAUCUAUUGAUGUUUGAUUUAUAAUUAUGCCUUUUGGUUA